CCUACGGGAGGCAGCAGUGAGGAAUAUUGGUCAAUGGGCGUACGCCUGAACCAGCCAAGCCGCGUGAGGGAAGACUGCCCUCUGGGUUGUAAACCUCUUUUGUCAGGGAGCAAUUGGCGCUACGUGUAGCGUUAUCGAGAGUACCUGAAGAAAAAGCAUCGGCUAACUCCGUGCCAGCAGCCGCGGUAAUACGGAGGAUGCGAGCGUUAUCCGUAUUUAGUGGGUUUAAAGGGUGCGUAGGCGGAAUGCCAAGUCAGCGUUAAAAUCGCGGGUUUAAACCUCGUUCCGCCGUUGAAACUGGCGUUCUUGAGUGGGCGAGAGGUAUGCGGAAUGCGUGGUGUAGCGGUGAAAUGCAUAGAUAUCACGCGGAACUCCGAUUGCGAAGGCGGCAUACCGGCGCCCAACUGACGCUGAAGCACGAAAGCGUGGGGAGCGAACAGGAUUAGAUACCCCAGUAGUC
RNAcentral lists this ribosomal RNA (460 nucleotides) under uncultured bacterium. Its description in RNAcentral is "partial 16S ribosomal RNA". It matches the Rfam family "Bacterial small subunit ribosomal RNA", at positions 338 to 795 of the family's 1533-position model. The record is from RNAcentral.